RNAcentral lists this unclassified non-coding RNA (195 nucleotides) under Myrtus communis var. communis. RNAcentral's name for it is "sequence contains ITS1". The record is from RNAcentral. Lineage: Eukaryota; Viridiplantae; Streptophyta; Magnoliopsida; Myrtales; Myrtaceae.
CUCGAACAAUUUCUCCUGGGGGCAUGGGUUCUCUCCGCGUCCCUCACGCUUGACAGCGCGGGCGCCUAAGCGUCGGGCUUUCUGGGCGGACACGACCCCGGCGCGAAUGCGCCAAGGAACUUGAACAAGAGAGCGAUGCUCCCAUCACCCCAGACAUGGUGCGUGCGUGGGAUGCCAUGCAUCUCCUAUUACUCA